Molecule: long non-coding RNA, 1030 nt
Filed under: Sipha flava (yellow sugarcane aphid)
Lineage: Eukaryota; Metazoa; Arthropoda; Insecta; Hemiptera; Aphididae
Description: uncharacterized LOC112682468, transcript variant X1
Source: RNAcentral
AGUUACCAAAUUUCUGAAUUUUGAAUGUUUUAAAAACCUUAUAAUACUACUUUAAAAAUUACUUACAUUUGAAGUUUGACAAAAUGAUAUUUCCAAAAAAAUAUGAAAAUAAAAUUGUUAGGGAAAUUGGGAAUACCAUCAACAUCAGAUCAAAUAUAUCUUGUAUGGAAGAUAUAAACAAUUAGGUUUCAGAAUUUGGGGAGUUGAAAAUUUAAGUCAUUGAAACUAUCGCUCCAGUAUUCCAAAAGGCCAACGAAUUCUCUAAAAAAUUUGUAUGUCAACACAGUAAUUUUAAAAAGCCCAAUAUAAAUAAAAAAAGAUUAUCCAAAAAUGCAAAUUGCCCAGCUACAAUUGAUGUAACAAUAAAACUUAAUACUACUGCAACUAAAAAAAAAAAGAUCCAUUUAUAAAGGAAUUUUAUUAGAGUUGGUGAUUUGUUGUGCUAUUACAUGUUUAUAUAAAUAUAAUAUAUACUUAUAUUAUAUGUUUUUAUGCAGAUAUGUACAUUAAUUUGUCAAACUUUGACUUUAAAUAGUCUUUAAUUGUCAACUGGGAAAUCAGCUGAGAACUCAUUUAAUGGUGUACAUCCAUCAGGGAAACUAGUAUUUAUGUUAUAAUAUAACAAUAUAUAAUAUUAUGUUACUUUUUAUUGCUUUUACUUUUACAGCUUAUAAUUACAAGGUUCAAGUGGUGCUAUGAUCUGACUCCAAAAUUACUGAUAUCAAGAUUGUGAGUGGUGUUACGGUUAUGAAAAGUCUCUGAAUGUCUCAAAUAUUCCUACUUUCUGUCUAGCACUUGUCUUGAUCUCCCUUUUAUAUGAUUAUUAUAAAGAGUGGGUGGCGACUAUUGUAUGAAGGGUCUUGAAAAUGUGGUUAUGUGUUCUUGUUGAUUCUUAUAGAUGAGACAUUGAGAUUCAAUUUAUUUUUUUAAACUAUUAUAAGUCAUUCUACGCUCUUUGUCUUGUCCUAGCAUGUUUGUGCCAAUACAUUUUAUUCAUUAAUAUAAUUUUAUUUUAAUUAUUUCCAUAACA